AUGGAAGACUCAUUUCUAAAAGCCCAACAUUCCUGAUUGAGAACUGGUCAAGGUGGUCUUACCUGUAAGUUGGAGGAUCUGGAACUGCAGAACCUGUUUUUCUGGAAAGCUAGCUUUGCAUAUGCAACAUCCAAGCAGUAGAAAACAUAGUACUUUUUCUGGAAAUAUGAUAAAUCCGGUUCGAGUUGCAUUGCCGUUGUCUAUAGCUUUGCAAACGGACCAGAACGAGAGUUUACCCGACUCUACAAGGAGUUCCGGUUCAUAUGCUUCAUCAAUUGGAGGUGGUUUCUUGCUAAAACAGCGAAAAGGGGUGGGAAUUAUUGGAGGUGUAUCCGUCGACUCUACUCUCAGUUUUGUCAGGAAACUCGUGGCAUUGAGUUCAGAUGAUGCAGGAGCUGGCCUUUCUUUUGUUUUGUGUUCAGACCCCGGGUUGAACAAGGAGUUAUUGCAUCACCAAAGAAGUUCUUUUUCUAGAACAGAAGGUUUGAAGUUAGAUCACAUGUCGAUUGUGGAAAAUUUGAGGAGUAAAAGGGUUUUCCUUGAAAGUUCUGGAGCUUGCUGCAUUGCGAUACCUUGUCAUAUAUCACAAUUCUGGCAUGAUGAGGUUUCAAAGGGAUGUUCUGUUCCAGUGCUUCAUAUGGGUGAGUGUGUUGCCAGGGAGCUCAAGGAAGCAAAUUUGAGGCCACUUGAAGCUGGAAGUCCUCUACGGAUCGGUGUUCUUUCCACCAGCACAACUUUGUUGACAGGCAUUUAUAAGGACAAACUUCACAAUGAGGGUUUCGAGGUUGUGCUACCGGAUAAAGCAACAAUGGAGCAUACUAUAGACCCUGCAAUUGAAGCUCUGACUAAAAAUGAUGUAGAAGGAGCACAAACUCUUCUAAGAAUUGCCCUACAGGUACUAUUAGUUAGAGCCGUGAACACUGUUAUCCUGGCGUCUGAUGAAUUGCGAGAACUUUUACCUCAAGAUGAUCCCCUACUUAAAAAAUGUAUUGACCCCAUGGAUGCAUUAGCCAGGUCCACUAUCAAGUAUGCUCAGUCAGCUGAAAUAUGUUCAUGAAGAGUACAGAAAGCCAGGUCUGCAAUCAAGUCUGCUCAACCAGCAACUAUAUGUGUAUAGAAUACAGAAAGAAUCUUUUACAGUGUGCCUCAACAUUCACAUAAUCCAUUUGCAAUAAAAGAAAAAACUAUUGAGUUUCAUAACUAGUUCUUAUUAUAUAGCAGUCCUGUAAUUACAGAAUCAAACCUUCUUUUACCUACUGUCCUGCUCGUUUCCAUGAAUUGGGCGAAACAUCUACAAAGUGAAUUCAAUGUAUAAAAUGAUAAUGCUAUAUAUGUUAAUAUAUGCUAUAUAUGUUAAUAUAUACAACUGCAAAUAUAUCUCUAUCUUGCAUUCCUGUAAGUGGUUCUAAAACAUUUUCUUCCAUUAGAACAUUCAUCCUUAUAUAAGUUCUUCAUCAUCAGUUAGAGGAUUUACAUACAUUUUAUAUUAACAUCUUGAUGUUUUUGCAUCCUGCUAGGAAAAGCUUGUAUUAUGAUUGAGCUAUAAUAUGUUUAUAUCCAUGGAUAUCACAAAUUUCAAUAGCAGAUAUUUUUUGCAAUCAUAUUACUUUGAACUAUGUACUUCUUAAAAAUGACUUAUAAGAAUAGGUUGAAAAGCUAUAACCAUUUGGGCUGCAUAGAGGGACUGUAUGAAAAGUUGAAAGAACUAAUGUAUUGUGAACUAGGAUCUGUUACAGAAUUUAAGUUGCAAAUUGUGGAAUGUGUGAACUUAUUAGGAUUACAUCAGUGCAAAUAAUGGUGGACUAGACACAUAUGCAUCCGUUGUUAUCAGCCAAUCAUUUACAUCACAAUAGUAGCUGCUACUGAAUACUGAUUAUGAGCAAUGAUGAGACCACAUAUAAUAAAGUAAAAGCCUCCAAGUUUAUGGAUAGGAUCUGAUCUUUCAUUCUGCAUCUUGCUUCCUGUUGUAAAGUAAGAGCCUCCAGUGUACGGAUAUGAUCUGAUCUUUAAUUUCGCGUCUUUAUUGAGCUGAAACUUAUCUAUACCGUUACCUAUUCUCUGAUGUUGAAGAUAUCAGGUUCAUUAUGUGAUAAGGCAUAUGGAAGACUCAUUCGGUCAUUCCUAAGAGCCCAACAUUCCUGAUGCGAGAACUGGUCAAGGUGAUCUUACCUGUAAGUUGGAGGAUCUGGAACUGCCGAACCUGUUUUUCUGGAAAGCCAGCUUUGCAUAUGCAACAUCCAAUCAGUAGGGUAGUUGUAGAGGGCAUAGGAGACACCAAAAAGCGACAAAAUGAUAGCUAAUCACAUAUCAGGCUGAGAAGGCAUAUCCUCAAUCCAAUCAGCAUAGAUCCCGACGAGCUUAUUCACUGUCUUCCACCUGAUGGAGCAUUCUUCUUUACCUUCCACCUGAGCAACCCCGUUCUUUUCAUCCUUAGCAAUACCAGCAACAGAUCUUAAAGAUUGAUUUUUGUUUCUUGCGCUUGGUCCAGGAAGAAGUUCUGCCAUCAAAUAACUGACAUGAGGCACCUACUUAAAUAUUAAGUUUAUUGAGCCAAAAUAGCUAUUUCAAUUUUCGUACCUAGUGAAUGCCUGGUAAUUGUUUACGUUGUGUAAGCUAUGUACAUUUCACAUAUGCUUCCGAUUCUGGAAGAAGAAAACAUUUCAAGUAA
This is an RNA transcript of Daucus carota subsp. sativus, 2668 nucleotides long. RefSeq lists it as uncharacterized. The record is from RefSeq and is a predicted model, not a curated record. NCBI's taxonomy places the organism in Eukaryota, Viridiplantae, Streptophyta, Magnoliopsida, Apiales, Apiaceae. The transcript is spliced from 4 exons.